Leptinotarsa decemlineata (Colorado potato beetle) is the source of this 457-nucleotide long non-coding RNA. NCBI's taxonomy places the organism in Eukaryota, Metazoa, Arthropoda, Insecta, Coleoptera, Chrysomelidae. The record is from RefSeq and is a predicted model, not a curated record.
GGUCUCUAAUUUAUGUGACUUGAACCUAGAUGAAAACAUUAUUAGACACUCGAAUAUCGAUUGCUUAAUUCAUUUAUUGUAAUAUUCGUUUACAUAAGUAUAAAUUUCAGCUCUUUAUAAUGACUAGAAGGAAAAAAAUGUUGAUUCAGUUCCUUGUUCCGCAGUCAUCUGUACGAUGUUUUUGAUGGAGAGAAUGAGUGAAUUCUACACCAUUGAAUUAGAGAUAUGACGCCUCUCAGAGAUCUAUUCUUGGUCCCCCUAUUCAAAAUAUACUGCAGUCAACUAGAGAAAUGCAAUAUUGCAGUAAACAUUUCUAUGCCGAUGACACCCAUAUCUAUUAUUUUUUUUGAAGCACACAGCAUCAGCAUAGACGACGCUAAAAAUCAGAUCACUCAUAAUCUCAACAGGUCAUUAUUAUUUGCUGGAGAUAUGUGUGCUCAAUGAUUAAAACAUAAGU